UGACAUCGUCCUCCUCUAGGUAGCGAAAUUCUCCAAUUAUGUAUUAGUGUAUUUUUUGGUUCAAAUGUUAACAUUUUCUUCCUUGUAGAUGGAUGCUAAAUUACCAAUUGAUAUUUUUGAAAACGUCAUGCAACUAGCAAUAGAAGGUUGCAAAGCAGUGGCAAAUUACAUUCGAGAAGUAAGAGCUUUCAACUUGAUCUGCUUUCUUCGUUGUUUCUAUCUGUGUUUUUCUAGCUGCAAUACUCCAUUUUUGUCUUUCUUCUUCCCAAACGUUUCUAAAAUUUGUUGUUUUGUUGACAGAUAUUGCUCGAAAAUACUAAGAAUUUAGAGUUUCGCAGUGGUGUAUAGCUUACUACGAGAGCAUGACAUCUUUGAGUUCUUUGCUACAUUUCUGAUUAGAAACAUGCCUAAUUUUGUAUUGAUAUUGCACUAAUGAACAAUAUUUUAAUUUGGCAAUCUACUUUCCCCCAAAUGAUUUUCCUAUCAUUAUUAUUUUUAGCGUAGGGCGACGGAACCAGCUGGAAUGACCUGAAAUAAUUCAAGUGAUUGAUGUUUAAUUUGUCGAGAACAAGAUGACCUGAAGGACUGUGUGGUUGAAAAUAAGAGAGAAAAAUGUAAUGUAAUGAAAAUUAAUGGAGGUCAAACG
RNAcentral lists this long non-coding RNA (646 nucleotides) under Olea europaea subsp. europaea. The record is from RNAcentral. Lineage: Eukaryota; Viridiplantae; Streptophyta; Magnoliopsida; Lamiales; Oleaceae.